This 396-nucleotide ribosomal RNA is filed under the name uncultured bacterium. RNAcentral's name for it is "partial 16S ribosomal RNA". It matches the Rfam family "Bacterial small subunit ribosomal RNA", at positions 523 to 918 of the family's 1533-position model. The record is from RNAcentral.
AUACGUAGGGAGCGAGCGUUGUCCGGAAUUACUGGGUGUAAAGGGAGCGUAGGCGGGAGUGCAAGUCAGAUGUGAAAUACAUGGGCUCAACCCAUGGGCUGCAUUUGAAACUGCAUUUCUUGAGUGAAGUAGAGGUAAGCGGAAUUCCUGGUGUAGCGGUGAAAUGCGUAGAUAUCAGGAGGAGCACCGGUGGCGAAGGCGGCUUACGGGGCUUUUACUGACGCUGAGGCUCGAAAGCGUGGGGAGCAAACAGGAUUAGAUACCCUGGUAGUCCACGCUGUAAACGAUGAUUACUAGGUGUGGGGGGACUGACCCCUUCCGUGCCGCAGUUAACACAAUAAGUAAUCCACCUGGGGAGUACGGCCGCAAGGUUGAAACUCAAAUGAAUUGGCGGGG